CCCUUAGAUGUUCUGGGCCGCACGCGCGCUACACUGAUGCAUUCAACAAGCCUAGCCUUGACCGAGAGGUCCGGGUAAUCUUUGAAACUGCAUCGUGAUGGGGCUAGAUUAUUGCAAUUAUUAAUCUUCAACGAGGAAUGCCUAGUAAGCGUGAUUCAUCAAAUCGCGUUGAUUACGUCCCUGCCCUUUGUACACACCGCCCGUCGCUCCUACCGAUUGAAUGUGUUGGUGAGGAUCUCGGAUUGGCAGCAGUUGGUGGUUCGCCACCGGCUAUUGCUGAGAAGUCCUCCAAACCGCCCCAUUUAGAGGAAGGAGAAGUCGUAACA
RNAcentral lists this ribosomal RNA (326 nucleotides) under uncultured eukaryote. Its description in RNAcentral is "partial 18S ribosomal RNA". It matches the Rfam family "Eukaryotic small subunit ribosomal RNA", at positions 1470 to 1796 of the family's 1831-position model. The record is from RNAcentral.